Molecule: ribosomal RNA, 253 nt
Filed under: uncultured bacterium
Lineage: Bacteria
Description: partial 16S ribosomal RNA
Rfam family: Bacterial small subunit ribosomal RNA
Source: RNAcentral
GACAGAGGGUGCAAACGUUGUUCGGAAUUACUGGGCGUAAAGCGUGUGUAGGCGGUCUCAUGAGUCGGGUGUGAAAGCCCCGGGCUCAACCCGGGAAGUGCACUCGAAACUGCGAGGCUAGAGUACUGGAGAGGUUGGUGGAAUUCUCGGUGUAGAGGUGAAAUUCGUAGAUAUCGAGAGGAACACCGGUGGCGAAGGCGGCCAACUGGACAGAUACUGACGCUGAGACACGAAAGCGUGGGGAGCAAACAGG